Molecule: ribosomal RNA, 614 nt
Filed under: uncultured Sphingobacteriia bacterium
Lineage: Bacteria; Pseudomonadati; Bacteroidota; Sphingobacteriia
Description: bacterial SSU rRNA
Rfam family: Bacterial small subunit ribosomal RNA
Source: RNAcentral
GCUAGCGGCAGGCCUAAUACAUGCAAGUCGAGGGGCAGUCACGCUUUCGGGCGUGAGCGACCGGCGCACGGGUGCGUAACGCGUAUGCAACCUACCCACAACAGGAGGAUAGCCCGGAGAAAUCCGGAUUAAUACUCCAUAAUGCGGUGGUACCGCCUGGUACUACAUGCUAAAGCUUUCGAGUGGUUGUGGAUGGGCAUGCGUCUGAUUAGCUGGUUGGUGAGGUAAUGGCUCACCAAGGCAACGAUCAGUAGGGGGUCUGAGAGGAUGAUCCCCCACACUGGUACUGAGACACGGACCAGACUCCUACGGGAGGCAGCAGUAGGGAAUAUUGGGCAAUGGGCGAGAGCCUGACCCAGCCAUGCCGCGUGCAGGAUGAAGGCCUUCUGGGUUGUAAACUGCUUUUAUAAGGGAAGAAAACGUUCCUGCGGGAAUAACUGACGGUACCUUAUGAAUAAGCACCGGCUAACUCCGUGCCAGCAGCCGCGGUAAUACGGAGGGUGCAAGCGUUGUCCGGAUUUAUUGGGUUUAAAGGGUGCGUAGGCGGAUUGUUAAGUCAGUGGUGAAAGUCUACGGCUCAACCGUAGAAGUGCCAUUGAUACUGGCAGUCUUGA